CGGGACUGGGCGGGCGUGGCUAAUACAUGCAAGUCGAACGCACUCUCGUUUAGAUUGAAGGAGCUUGCUCCUGAUUGAUAAACAUUUGAGUGAGUGGCGGACGGGUGAGUAACACGUGGGUAACCUGCCCUAAAGUGGGGGAUAACAUUUGGAAACAGAUGCUAAUACCGCAUAAAACCUAACACCGCAUGGUGUAGGGUUGAAAGAUGGUUUCGGCUAUCACUUUAGGAUGGACCCGCGGUGCAUUAGUUAGUUGGUGAGGUAAAGGCUCACCAAGACCGUGAUGCAUAGCCGACCUGAGAGGGUAAUCGGCCACACUGGGACUGAGACACGGCCCAGACUCCUACGGGAGGCAGCAGUAGGGAAUCUUCCACAAUGGACGAAAGUCUGAUGGAGCAACGCCGCGUGAGUGAAGAAGGUUUUCGGAUCGUAAAACUCUGUUGUUGGAGAAGAAUGUAUCUGAUAGUAACUGAUCAGGUAGUGACGGUAUCCAACCAGAAAGCCACGGCUAACUACGUGCCAGCAGCCGCGGUAAUACGUAGGUGGCAAGCGUUGUCCGGAUUUAUUGGGCGUAAAGCGAGCGCAGGCGGUUUCUUAAGUCUGAUGUGAAAGCCUUCGGCUCAACCGAAGAAGUGCAUCGGAAACUGGGAAACUUGAGUGCAGAAGAGGACAGUGGAACUCCAUGUGUAGCGGUGAAAUGCGUAGAUAUAUGGAAGAACACCAGUGGCGAAGGCGGCUGUCUGGUCUGUAACUGACGCUGAGGCUCGAAAGCAUGGGUAGCAAACAGGAUUAGAUACCCUGGUAGUCCAUGCCGUAAACGAUGAGUGCUAGGUGUUGGAGGGUUUCCGCCCUUCAGUGCCGCAGCUAACGCAUUAAGCACUCCCGCCUGGGGAGUACGACCGCAAGGUUGAAACUCAAAGGAAUUGACGGGGGGCCCGCACAAGCGGUGGGAGCAUGUGGGUUUAAUUCGAAGCAACGCGAAGAACCUUACCAGGGUCUUGGACAUCCUUUGACCACUCUGGAGAUAGAGCUUCCCUUCGGGGACAAAGUGACAGGUGGGUGCAUGGUUGGUCGUCAGCUCGUGUCAUGGGACAUGUUGGGUUAAGUUCCCGCAACGAUGCGCAACCCUUAUUACUUAGUUGCCAGCAUUUAGUUUGGGCCAUCUAGUGGGACGUGCGGGUACAAUCGGAGGACAGGUUAGGGACGACUUAUCGUCUGUGCCCUUGAGACCGGGGCCCUCCAACGUGGUCCUACAAUGGAUGGUACAACGAGUUGCGAGACCGCGAGGUUUAGCUAAUCUCUUAAAACCAUUCUCAGUUCGGAUUGUAGGCUGCAACUCGCCUACAUGAAGCCGGAAUCGCUAGUAAUCGCGGAUCAGCAUGCCGCGGUGAAUACGUUCCCGGGCCUUGUACACACCGCCCGUCACACCAUGAGAGUUUGUAACACCCAAAGCCGGUGAGGUAACCCUUCGGGGAGCCAGCCGUCUAAGGUGGGACAGAUGAUUAGGGUG
This 1510-nucleotide ribosomal RNA is filed under the name Latilactobacillus sakei. RNAcentral's name for it is "bacterial SSU rRNA". It matches the Rfam family "Bacterial small subunit ribosomal RNA". Lineage: Bacteria; Bacillati; Bacillota; Bacilli; Lactobacillales; Lactobacillaceae. The record is from RNAcentral.